RNAcentral lists this long non-coding RNA (796 nucleotides) under Oryzias javanicus (javanese ricefish). RNAcentral describes it as "lncRNA (ENSOJAG00000000528.1)". Lineage: Eukaryota; Metazoa; Chordata; Actinopteri; Beloniformes; Adrianichthyidae. The record is from RNAcentral.
GGCGUUACGGGGAAAAGCGGAGCUCCGGGUGACUCCGGCCCCCAGGGUCUGCCCGGGGUGCCCGGCGCGUUCGGCCAGAAGGGACACGGGGGCGUGAAGGUACGGCGACCUCCUGCAGAAGUGAAGAUGAAUAUGCAGAAAUUAAAGAAAAAUGUUUUUGUAAAAGAAAACAAGAAGGGUCAAACCAGUUUCUGAUCAAAGAUUUUUAGAUGCAUCCAGUUUGAAAACCAGAUUCUGUUCAUUUUAUGUAGACGUCUUGCAGAUUUAUCGUCAGAAGUUGAAUCUUGUCUUCAGGGAAACUCUGGAGAUCCGGGAGUCGUGGGUGUGAUGGGACCUCCAGGGAAGCAAGUGAGUGAAACACCAUCGAGGUUCCUGCAGAAGACUGGAGCGAGAACGGGACGUUUUUACUAGAACCGACCUGGAAUGUUCCAUUUGCUUCCAGGGGGAACGCGGCGAUCAGGGGGAGGUGGGGCCGGCUGGACCCCGAGGAGGACCCGGCGAGCGUGGAGAGAGAGGAGCUGAUGGACCUCCGGGACCCCCAGGAGCCCGGGGGACCAAAGGAGAUCCGGGUCUUCCGGGACUUCCUGGACCGGCGGGUUAUCGAGGCGAGAAGGGAGACCGGGGGGCAGUUGGUCUGAACGGUCCGAAGGGAGAGCAGGUACGUUCACUGAGCUGCGAGUCGGCGCAGGUGCCGCCGACUCGGACCUGAUUCCGAAACUGUGUCUGUCUCAAAGGGGUCUCCGGGAGCCGAGGGGACGCCGGGAGAGCGAGGAGACGUGGUGAGUGACCCGCAGGA